AUAUUGUUAGUAUAAAUAUUAUACUUCUUUUCCAAAGAAGAGAUCUAAAUAAAUUAGGCAAUAUA
This 65-nucleotide transfer RNA is filed under the name Taenia tianguangfui. Its description in RNAcentral is "tRNA-Gly". Lineage: Eukaryota; Metazoa; Platyhelminthes; Cestoda; Cyclophyllidea; Taeniidae. The record is from RNAcentral.